Molecule: long non-coding RNA, 543 nt
Filed under: Arabidopsis lyrata
Lineage: Eukaryota; Viridiplantae; Streptophyta; Magnoliopsida; Brassicales; Brassicaceae
Description: long non-coding RNA (ALYR_LNC002895)
Source: RNAcentral
UGGUGGGGGAGACUUGUAAACGGGAGGAGGCGAGUAGUACUUAACCGGUGGUGGGGGAGACUUGUAAACCGGAGGAGGCGAGUAAUGCUUAACCGGUGGGGGUGGAGACUUGUAAACCGGAGGAGGGGAGUAGUGCUUAACCGGUGGUGGUGGAGACUUGUAAACGGGAGGAGGCGAGUAGUACUUAACCGGUGGUGGUGGAGACUUGUAAACGGGAGGAGGCGAGUAAUGCUUAACCGGUGGGGGUGGAGACUUGUAAACGGGAGGAGGGGAGUAGUGCUUAACCGGUGGUGGUGGAGACUUGUAAACGGGAGGAGGCGAGUAGUGCUUAACCGGUGGUGGUGGAGACUUGUAAACGGGAGGAGGCGAGUAGUGUUUAACCGGUGGUGGUGGAGACUUGUAAACCGGAGGAGGCGAGUAAUGCUUAACCGGUGGAGGAGGGGAAGAGUAGAAGUAAUUUGCAGUGGUUUGAGAGACAAAAGCAAGGGAGAAUGCUAAGACAAGGAAAGAGGCCAUUGGUGACCCCAUUUUGUUAUGUGUUUU